AGAUGUGAAAUCCCCGGGCUCAACCUGGGAACUGCAUUUGAAACUGGCAGGCUUGAGUCUCGUAGAGGGGGGUAGAAUUCCAGGUGUAGCGGUGAAAUGCGUAGAGAUCUGGAG
Molecule: ribosomal RNA, 114 nt
Filed under: Cronobacter malonaticus
Lineage: Bacteria; Pseudomonadati; Pseudomonadota; Gammaproteobacteria; Enterobacterales; Enterobacteriaceae
Description: partial 16S ribosomal RNA
Rfam family: Bacterial small subunit ribosomal RNA
Source: RNAcentral